Long non-coding RNA from Papilio machaon (common yellow swallowtail), 426 nucleotides. RefSeq lists it as uncharacterized. The record is from RefSeq and is a predicted model, not a curated record. The transcript is spliced from 2 exons. Lineage: Eukaryota; Metazoa; Arthropoda; Insecta; Lepidoptera; Papilionidae.
UGAUGCAUUUUUGGAUUUGGGAAAAUAGUGAAGCAAAUAAAUUCAUGCAAGAGCUACAUAGAAACAAUGAACAAGUGUGGUUAUUAGGUGAUUCUGGAUAUCCCCAAAGGCCUCGGUUGAUGUUACCACCUGUUACCGAUGCUGUUGAAGGGAGUCCCGAAGCAGUUUACACAACUGUUCAUGGAAAAGCACGGGUGGUCAUUGAAAAUACAUUUGGGCGACUUAAGAAUAGGUGGCGUUGCCUAAGUAAGGAUCGCACCCUCCAUUAUAAUCCUGAGAGGUGUGCUGCUAUAAUCAUGGCAUGUUGUGUUUUACACAACCUAGCAAUUGACUUUUCGGUGCCAGAUCCACAAGAAGUUGUUGAGCAAAGUACAAAUACAUCUGAGGUAGCUCUACAAGAAUGUGAUGGAGAUGAUUUACUUCGGG